This 1271-nucleotide ribosomal RNA is filed under the name metagenome. RNAcentral describes it as "bacterial SSU rRNA". It matches the Rfam family "Bacterial small subunit ribosomal RNA", at positions 209 to 1471 of the family's 1533-position model. The record is from RNAcentral.
GGCCUUGCGCUCUUUGAGCGGCCGAUGUCAGAUUAGCUAGUUGGUGAGGUAAAGGCUUACCAAGGCGACGAUCUGUAGCGGGUCUGAGAGGAUGAUCCGCCACACUGGAACUGAGACACGGUCCAGACUCCUACGGGAGGCAGCAGUGGGGAAUUUUGGACAAUGGGGGCAACCCUGAUCCAGCCAUGCCGCGUGAGUGAAGAAGGCCUUCGGGUUGUAAAGCUCUUUCGGCCGGGAAGAAAUCGCAUGGGCCAAUACCCUGUGUGGAUGACGGUACCGGAAUAAGAAGCACCGGCUAACUACGUGCCAGCAGCCGCGGUAAUACGUAGGGUGCGAGCGUUAAUCGGAAUUACUGGGCGUAAAGCGUGCGCAGGCGGUUUUGUAAGACAGGCGUGAAAUCCCCGGGCUUAACCUGGGAACUGCGUUUGUGACUGCAAGGCUAGAGUACGGCAGAGGGGGGUGGAAUUCCACGUGUAGCAGUGAAAUGCGUAGAGAUGUGGAGGAACACCAAUGGCGAAGGCAGCCCCCUGGGUCGAUACUGACGCUCAUGCACGAAAGCGUGGGUAGCAAACAGGAUUAGAUACCCUGGUAGUCCACGCCCUAAACUAUGUCAACUAGGUGUUGGGUGGGUAAAACCAUUUAGUACCGUAGCUAACGCGUGAAGUUGACCGCCUGGGGAGUACGGCCGCAAGGUUAAAACUCAAAGGAAUUGACGGGGACCCGCACAAGCGGUGGAUGAUGUGGAUUAAUUCGAUGCAACGCGAAAAACCUUACCUACCCUUGACAUGCCAGGAACUUGCCAGAGAUGGCUUGGUGCCCGAAAGGGAGCCUGGACACAGGUGCUGCAUGGCUGUCGUCAGCUCGUGUCGUGAGAUGUUGGGUUAAGUCCCGCAACGAGCGCAACCCUUGUCGUUAAUUGCCAUCAUUUAGUUGGGCACUUUAACGAGACUGCCGGUGACAAACCGGAGGAAGGUGGGGAUGACGUCAAGUCCUCAUGGCCCUUAUGGGUAGGGCUUCACACGUCAUACAAUGGUCGGUACAAAGGGUUGCCAAGCCGCGAGGCGGAGCCAAUCCCAGAAAGCCGAUCGUAGUCCGGAUUGCAGGCUGCAACUCGCCUGCAUGAAGUCGGAAUCGCUAGUAAUCGUGGAUCAGCAUGUCACGGUGAAUACGUUCCCGGGUCUUGUACACACCGCCCGUCACACCAUGGGAGCGGGUUCCGCCAGAAGUAGGUAGCCUAACCGCAAGGGGGGCGCUUACCACGGCGGGGUUCG